GCAGAUGUGGUUCAAUGGUAGAAUGCCACCUUGCCAAGGUGGAGACGUGGGUUCGAUUCCCAUCAUCUGCUCCA
This 74-nucleotide transfer RNA is filed under the name Mollicutes bacterium. RNAcentral's name for it is "tRNA-Gly". It matches the Rfam family "tRNA". Rfam says of the family: Transfer RNA (tRNA) molecules are approximately 80 nucleotides in length. Lineage: Bacteria; Bacillati; Mycoplasmatota; Mollicutes. The record is from RNAcentral. RNAcentral also lists the same sequence under 1 other name.